GGCGUGCUUAACACAUGCAAGUCGAACGGAAGUAGAAAUACUUUAGUGGCGGACGGGUGAGUAACGCGUGAGCAACCUGCCCUUAUCAGGGGGAUAACACAGAGAAAUUUGUGCUGAUACCGCAUAACGUUGCGAAUAGGCAUCUAAUUGCAACCAAAGAUUUAUCGGAUAAGGAUGGGCUCGCGUCCCAUUAGGCAGUUGGUGAGGUAACGGCCCACCAAGCCGACGAUGGGUAGCCGAUCUGAGAGGAUGAACGGCCACAUUGGAACUGAGACACGGCCCAGACUCCUACGGGAGGCAGCAGUGGGGAACAUUGCACAAUGGGCGCAAGCCUGAAUGCAGCAACGCCGCGUGAGGGAAGACGGUUUUCGGAUUGUAAACCUCUGUCCUUGGUGAAGAUAAUGACGGUAGCCGAGGAGGAAGCCACGGCUAACUACGUGCCAGCCGCCGC
This 451-nucleotide ribosomal RNA is filed under the name uncultured bacterium. RNAcentral describes it as "bacterial SSU rRNA". It matches the Rfam family "Bacterial small subunit ribosomal RNA", at positions 41 to 518 of the family's 1533-position model. The record is from RNAcentral.